CAGGCUUGCUCGAGCUGCAUUUCGUUCCUCCGGUGGCUCCUCCUUGAAGGUGUCGUCGGAGGGUCGCGUGCUUUUCGUCUUGCGUUGGGACGACGCGUGAGUGGCUUAUAGGGCAUGAUCCCAGUGCAGGCCCCGUGCUUCUUGCAUCGAACUGCCCUGGUCUGUCCGUUUCAUUAGUUGGUCCGCCUCGGCCCUUUCAGGGCGGUUGCGGCUGCCAGGAGGGUUCCUGUGCUCGAUAUCCGAAUACGGUAGUUGGAUGGAUUCUUGUCCCCGCCUUGGUUUCCUCUAUCCACCAACGUCUCUCGGGAGUUGGUGGAUAUUAUCGUGCCGGCAUCCGACGUUCUCCGUCGCGAAAGUCGAUCCCCUUUGGGCGCUUCUUCUCGUGAUGGCGCGUCGGUGCCGCCGGUCAUGCUCUCGGGUACGGUGACUUUAUGGCUAUCGCGUCGGUCCUCGUCGGCCGUUGUGAUAUCGACUUGUCGAAGCGUGAACGCUUCUGCUCGCGUGACUCUCUUGCUUGUCUAAGGGCUCGCGGAGCUACUCAGUUUCGUGAUCGUCUUGGGGAGGCAUCGAGGUCUACGGCGGAAUGAACGC
This 591-nucleotide unclassified non-coding RNA is filed under the name Pseudoernestia cordifolia. RNAcentral's name for it is "Ernestia cordifolia partial external transcribed spacer". The record is from RNAcentral. Lineage: Eukaryota; Viridiplantae; Streptophyta; Magnoliopsida; Myrtales; Melastomataceae.